CCUACGGGUGGCAGCAGUGGGGAAUAUUGGACAAUGGGAGCAACCCUGAUCCAGCCAUGCCGCGUGUGUGAAGAAGGCCCUCGGGUUGUAAAGCACUUUCAGUGAGGAAGAACGCCUGGUGGUUAAUACCCAUCAGGAAAGACAUCACUCACAGAAGAAGCACCGGCUAACUCCGUGCCAGCAGCCGCGGUAAUACGGAGGGUGCGAGCGUUAAUCGGAAUUACUGGGCGUAAAGCGCGCGUAGGUGGCUUGAUAAGCCGGUUGUGAAAGCCCCGGGCUCAACCUGGGAACGGCAUCCGGAACUGUCAAGCUAGAGUGCAGGAGAGGAAGGUAGAAUUCCCGGUGUAGCGGUGAAAUGCGUAGAGAUCGGGAGGAAUACCAGUGGCGAAGGCGGCCUUCUGGACUGACACUGACACUGAGGUGCGAAAGCGUGGGUAGCAAACAGGAUUAGAUACCCUGGUAGUC
RNAcentral lists this ribosomal RNA (465 nucleotides) under Vreelandella stevensii. RNAcentral's name for it is "partial 16S ribosomal RNA". It matches the Rfam family "Bacterial small subunit ribosomal RNA", at positions 338 to 795 of the family's 1533-position model. The record is from RNAcentral. Lineage: Bacteria; Pseudomonadati; Pseudomonadota; Gammaproteobacteria; Oceanospirillales; Halomonadaceae.